This 510-nucleotide ribosomal RNA is filed under the name uncultured bacterium. Its description in RNAcentral is "partial 16S ribosomal RNA". It matches the Rfam family "Bacterial small subunit ribosomal RNA", at positions 28 to 507 of the family's 1533-position model. The record is from RNAcentral.
GACGAACGCUGGCGGCGUGCUUAACACAUGCAAGUCGAACGAAGAGCGAUGGAAGCUUGCUUCUAUCAAUCUUAGUGGCGAACGGGUGAGUAACGCGUAAUCAACCUGCCCUUCAGAGGGGGACAACAGUUGGAAACGACUGCUAAUACCGCAUACGAUCUAAUCUCGGCAUCGAGGAUAGAUGAAAGGUGGCCUCUACAUGUAAGCUAUCACUGAAGGAGGGGAUUGCGUCUGAUUAGUUAGUUGGAGGGGUAACGGCCCACCAAGGCGAUGAUCAGUAGCCGGUCUGAGAGGAUGAACGGCCACAUUGGGACUGAGACACGGCCCAGACUCCUACGGGAGGCAGCAGUGGGGAAUCUUCCGCAAUGGACGAAAGUCUGACGGAGCAACGCCGCGUGAGUGAUGACGGCCUUCGGGUUGUAAAGCUCUGUUAAUCGGGACGAAAGGCCUUCUUGCGAAUAGUGAGAAGGAUUGACGGUACCGGAAUAGAAAGCCACGGCUAACUACGUG